Molecule: ribosomal RNA, 240 nt
Filed under: uncultured bacterium
Lineage: Bacteria
Description: partial 16S ribosomal RNA
Rfam family: Bacterial small subunit ribosomal RNA
Source: RNAcentral
GAUCAUGGCUCAGGAUGAACGCUAGCGACGGGCCUAACACAUACAAGUCGAGGGGCAGCGAAGAGGUAGCAAUACCUUUGCCGGCGACCGGCGCACGGGUGAGUAACACGUAUGCAAUCCACCUGUAACAGGGGGAUAACCCGGAGAAAUCCGGACUAAUACCCCAUAAUAUGGGCGCUCCGCAUGGAGAGCCCAUUAAAGAGAGCAAUUUUGGUUACAGACGAGCAUGCGCUCCAUUAG